Non-coding RNA from Stygiomarasmius scandens, 96 nucleotides. The record is from the annotation of a GenBank genome assembly. Lineage: Eukaryota; Fungi; Basidiomycota; Agaricomycetes; Agaricales; Campanellaceae.
UCCCUGGUAGUAUAUUGGUUAGUACACGCCCCUGUCAUAUGGCUAGAAACACCUUGGAUGACGCGCGAAAGCUGGGUUCGACUCCCAGCCAGGGAG